GACGAACGCUGGCGGCGUGCUUAACACAUGCAAGUCGAACGGAAAGGCCCCUUUGGGGGUACUCGAGUGGCGAACGGGUGCGUAACACGUGAGUAACCUGCCCUUGACUUCGUGAUAACUUCAGGAAACUGGGGCUAAUACCGGCUAGGAAUCCUUGCUGCAUGGUGGGGGUUGGAAAGCUUCGGCGGUUUUGGAUGGACUCGCGGCUUAUUAGCUUGUUGGUGGGGUAGUGGCUUACCAAGGCUUUGACGGGUAGCCGGCCUGGUAGGGCGACCGGCCACAUUGGGACUGAGAUACGGCCCAGACUCCUACGGGAGGCAGCAGUGGGGAAUAUUGCACAAUGGGCGGAAGCCUGAUGAAGCAACGCCGCGUGCGGGAUGACGGCCUUCGGGUUGUAAACCGCUUUCAGCAGGGGCGAAGCUUGUGGUGACGGUACCUGCAGAAGAAGCACCGGCUAACUACGUG
RNAcentral lists this ribosomal RNA (465 nucleotides) under uncultured bacterium. RNAcentral describes it as "partial 16S ribosomal RNA". It matches the Rfam family "Bacterial small subunit ribosomal RNA", at positions 28 to 507 of the family's 1533-position model. The record is from RNAcentral.